UACGUGUGAACAUUAACGUUGAAAUGAUUGGACUAUAAUCUACGAAGAUGGAAAACAAGCGAGUGGAAAAACAUGAUCUAUGUCUUGUGGUUUGUGAAUGAUCAGGUCGAACGUACUGAAUGAAUUUUUCAUAUGA
Long non-coding RNA from Xenia sp. Carnegie-2017, 136 nucleotides. RefSeq lists it as uncharacterized. The transcript has 2 exons. Lineage: Eukaryota; Metazoa; Cnidaria; Anthozoa; Malacalcyonacea; Xeniidae. The record is from RefSeq and is a predicted model, not a curated record.